This 733-nucleotide long non-coding RNA is filed under the name Rattus norvegicus (Norway rat). Its description in RNAcentral is "long non-coding RNA NONRATT007542". Lineage: Eukaryota; Metazoa; Chordata; Mammalia; Rodentia; Muridae. The record is from RNAcentral.
AAGCCUGGGCAAGGAAGUCUGCGGACACAGUCUGGGCUUCUUCCUUCUUGCUAAACAUGGCCAAGGAAGGGCUGUGGGCUGCCCAGCAGCUCUGGAAUUGGGUAAGACCUAGCCUACAGAUUUUCAAAACCCUGCCUUGACCAGCCUUUCUGUCAGGAGAGUCUUGGAGGCAGAAGUUGCUGUCCCCAACCAUAGCCUUACUCAAGAAACCUCAAGCUGCUGGUGGGCAGUCAGGAAAUACUGCAAACCUCAGAGUCCCCACCAAUCUGAGAUGAAAUGGCCAGCAUGCAGAAAUGCCUUCAAAGGGGCAAGGUUGAGAGCAUAGAAGCACAAACUCCCAAGUGACCCUGUGCUAGCUUGGGGGUGGGAGUGGGGAUUGCUAAGUCCCCCCAAACCCUCCCUCCAAUCAUCACAGCACUCCUGGGAGGUAGGUGCCAUUUGGAAUGCCACAGGGCAGAGAAGGACACAGAGACACAGAGGCAGAGUCCCACAGCUAAGACAAGCUGGGCGCACACCAGCAGUAGGUGCUGGGUAAGGGUGGGGGCUUCUGUAGGGCAGAAAUGCUUGCUGGUCUCAGUCUUACAGUAUAACCUGGCCCCAACCCAGCCCCCAUUCUUGUUCCUUGGCACCUCUGAACCCAACAGACAGGGGUUCAAAUCGUUUCCAGAAGGCUCUGCUAAAUUGGGUUUCUUCUUGCUAGGGUGCCUCGAUGUGCUGGCUCCUUUGGGGUGCU